GUAACUGAAAUCAGUUAGCUUCUGUUGUGCUCCACAAACUGGAAGGAUGGCAUCCAAGUCACCACCGCCGUCGCCGUCUUUGCUCCGCCGCAUCGUCGAUCUAGACACCGCCAUCUCCCUCCGUCUCUACACACUGACUCGCCCAAUCCUCCCUUAUUACUUUCUCAAAACCCUAGAAAUCUCCGGCGAUGGUUUCCUCUUCUUCCCUUUAAUCCUCUCACUACUCCUCUACCCGCUCACUUUCUCCACCACCACCGAAACUACUAACAACAUUUUCCUAAUCAACCUCCUCCUCGGCGGAAUAGUCGACCUAAUCGUAAUCGGAUCCCUCAAACACCUUAUUCGGAGGCCCCGACCCGUUUACAACAAAAACAUGUUCCUCUCUUUUUCCGUUGACCAUUGGUCCUUCCCUAGCGGACAUUCAUCUAGGGUUUCAUUUAUAGCCACUCUCUUUUACCUUUACUCCGAUUUCGUUAAGGAUAUAUUGAUUCAGCUUAAAUAUGAUCUAUUUGUGGAUUAUUUAAUGCUUAUUGUGAUUGGAUGGGCCGCAACGACAUCGUUGUCUAGGAUACUUCUUGGCCGUCAUUUCAUGUUCGAUGUUGUUGCUGGUGUAUUUUUGGGUGUUCUUGAAGGGAUGUUUGUGUUUUGGAUUUUCAAUUAUGUGACUCUGACCUCAUUCUUGAAAUGAUAAAGUUGUAAGCUUUAAUCCUUUUUGGUUUGUGAUUGUUAAUGUUGACGUAAAAUUUAUAUGAAUGUUAGAAAUUUUGUCUCAAUUUGUAUCUCUCUUAAUGCUUUACUGUGUUAAAAGGCAAAUUAUUGAGUAUUAGAAUGACACUGUGCAGCAAUGGAGUUAGGAAUUUAUACGAGGGGAUUCAAAAAAAGAAUAGAAUGUCACAUUUGGCAUUUGAACCUGUGAUAGCAAUUUUUGAACCUUCUUUGCCACUUCAGUGUACUUUUACGCAUAUCAAGGGGAUUCAACGGCUUAUAUGUAACAGAAAAGUUUGGUUUUUUCCCUAUUCACACAGUGUAAUUUUUCAACAAAUUGAAUUCCCUUCACUCCACUUACCUCCUCCACUGAUACUGUGGAUUCAUAUAGCGAACCCAACUUGGUCUUGGGAGAUUUUUGUUUUUAUCUCUCAAUAUGCUUGUGAAUUCUCCCAAGUCUCAACUGAAUUUGCAGAUCCUGUGAUGAGAAGGAAAGGUGUAAAUAUUAUGUUUUUCCUACUUAUCAAAAAGAAAAUAUUACUACUAUUGAGUUUUUCCUUGAAUUCAGAAUAUUCUUUAGCUCAAACACUUGAUCUUAUGUAGGCCUCAAAGUUUUCUAACAGGAUCAACUGUUCAUGUUCAUUGAAAUUUGACUCCGGGAGUAAUGAUAUCUGACCUUUAUGUAGACUGAAAUAGUUUUCGACCAGCAAUUGGCAUCAGUAGGAACCUUAAACACAAUAACCUUUAUAUAGACUGAGACCACUUCUGGUUGGCAAUUAUCUAUGGACUUAAGCUCAUGAUGCUACAUGAAUGUCUAUUCCCUUGUAUGGAUAUGUCAAAUCUUCUUGAUUCUUGGAGAUGUUUGGUUAUUGCAUAAUCAACUCAGGGAGAAAUUGUGCUAUUUAUGAACUGAGAACUCUUCUAGAAUGCUCACCAUUACAAGGUUUAUUCCGAAACUGCAAACUGUUUUUGUUUUUAAUUGAAACUAUUACACCACUCAUAAAAUAUUGCUUCAGAAAAUUCUAUUAACUCAGAUUUAGCUGCAUAAAAUUCCAUUUGCAUGACAUAGAGCACCCUUGAGCUCCAUAUCUACAUUGUUGGUUGACUAGUGACAUUAAGUUAAAUACAUCUUGGAGUUUGCAUCUGUUUUAUUUGGUCCAAUUUUUGGCCUAUAUUAUUGACCCUUUCGUUGUGGUUGAAAAGCAUUACAGCGCCCUCCUUUUUCGUUCCCACGUUAAUGUUUUGUGCUUCAACAUUAAACCAUGUGAUGUUGUAUAUACUGUAAUGCUUCUUGGUCAUUCUAAAGCAACUCUCAGGCAAUUGUUGAUUUCUGGAGUUUCUCUGAGGCUAUUUUGAGAUUCAUGCAUCCUUCAUCAAGUGUGCAAGUGAAGUGGUUGCUGGAAUUUUUGCUGCUCCCUUUAGAUAUUCCGUUUUCUUCCCACUCUAGAGUUGCUAAUUACUCUGAAAAUCCCCAGUUAAUUUUUGAUUUUUUCUGUUUGGCACAUUUGACAUGAUCUGGAACUUUUAUCUUUUACAAUAGUAUAGAACAUUGUAGACAUAGAUGAACAGAAUUCUUCAUUUUCAUAGUUGAAGUGACAUCUAUGGCUGAAUCAUUAUGGGCUCUAUGGAGAACAAAAGGAUCUCAGUUAACUGUGUCCCUAGUUGUUGAAUCAAAUGAACACUGAAACUUCCUUUCAUCUAAUUGUCUUUCAGUGAAGUCUCAUAAUUGUUUUUGUCUGAUAUUUGUGUUCACAUGUUCAUGAUUGAUUUUUCUAUGUUUUUGCUGUAGCAGAUUUAUUAUUAUCACGUUGCUCUGCAGAACCAUAUGUGGUCCUGUCAUGUUUACUUUGAGUUCAACUCUCAUGAUAAGCUAGGAGCAUUACACUCUAGCUUUGUGGUAGCAAGCAUCUGUGCUUCUCUCUGGCUAGUAAUGCAUGGAAGUGAAGAACAACAAACCUCUGGGAGUCUCCUUCCUUCACCCAAUGCAAAAGAUACAUAUCAGAAAUGCACUUAAGACUUGUUUAAUUUUUAAAUCAGUCUUUUUUCCUUAGACAACAGCGGUGCUCGGGUCAGCUUUCAUGCACGUCGACUAUUCUAUCGGGUAUUUAUUACUACCCACCAUCACAGGUACAGGGUAACUCUGCCCACCAAGGCCUAGGUAGAUUAUUUUUCGAAUUAUAGGUAGAUUAUUUUUCGAAUUAUAGUCUUCUCAAGUUAUACGAUAUUAUGAACAUAAAAAUGAAUUUUACUUGGUGGCUUGAUGCAAUUUUAGAAAAUGAUCAAUGAUGCCAAAACCCUGCCUCCAGUGUCCUUUGGACAUGGAAUCUUGGCCUUGGUCAAGGUCAAAUUUUGUGGCUUAGUUUGAAAAUGACCUAACAUUGAGACAAGGCUGAACUCUAGGAAGAUUGAUAAUGGUUACUCAAUUUCAGACCUCUGCUUUUCUCUGUGUUUGUAAUGCAGGGUCUGCAUUAAAUAUACACUGUUAGGGCAACACGUGUGACAAAAUUGCUUGGCCUCAUUGAUCCUGUUAAAUUUGGUAUCUGUCCAUUAUAUUGCUUGAUGUGUAUUUUAGUCAUUCCUGAAACAGGGAUAAAGGAGGAUGGUACAUGCCCCAGAAAGCAAAAGGAAACUGCACUAAUAUUUGGCCAUAAGUUGAAAAAGAUAUAGCUGUCUCUCUGUGAAUUUCAUGAAUGAUAUUCUGGCAAUGUUUACAGUGGUGGUAAUAUAUUGAAUUGAAUAGGGCAAUAGUUAUGAUGAGGAGCAGGGGGGAUAGAAAUAGUGUGCAUAAGGUAGACUGACGUGGAUGAGAAGGAUGUGUCUGCAGUUGGAAAGAAAAAAAAGACAGAUCCACCACUUGAACCUCUGUCACACUUUUUAAAGUUUUUACCCCACAAAGCCAAUGUCACACGAGGGGCUUUUGCAGUUUGCCCCCCAAACCCACCCAAACCACCACCACCACCACAAAUCCCCUCAACCCCACGUUUGGUUUCUCUCUUCUUUUCUUUGUUGUGCGAAUCUACUUUUGGUUCCUGUUUUCUUUGUAAUGUGAGUCUACUUUUGUUUCCUAUUGCUUUCCCUGUUUGCUUCCCCUUCUCCCAACUGAAUUUGUAACACUGGUUAUGCCAAAAUUGUAAUGCAGGGUUGUUUAUGCGCUGAAGGAAUCAUAGUAUGGUGGUUAAUAAUGUAGAGUUAACUAUGCGACGGAUAGUAAUAUUGGCAAUGUUAUGCAAAUGAGGGAGAAGACAUAUUGCAAAUUUAA
Molecule: non-coding RNA, 3964 nt
Organism: Nicotiana tabacum (common tobacco)
Lineage: Eukaryota; Viridiplantae; Streptophyta; Magnoliopsida; Solanales; Solanaceae
Source: RefSeq, a predicted model, not a curated record